Molecule: small nuclear RNA, 163 nt
Filed under: Balaenoptera musculus (blue whale)
Lineage: Eukaryota; Metazoa; Chordata; Mammalia; Artiodactyla; Balaenopteridae
Description: U1 spliceosomal RNA (ENSBMSG00010016837.1)
Rfam family: U1 spliceosomal RNA
About the family: U1 is a small nuclear RNA (snRNA) component of the spliceosome (involved in pre-mRNA splicing). Its 5' end forms complementary base pairs with the 5' splice junction, thus defining the 5' donor site of an intron.
Source: RNAcentral
AUAAUAAAAGUGUAAUUAAGAUACCAUGAUCACGAAGGUGGUUUUCCCAGGACGAGGCUUAUCCAUUGCACUCCGGAUGUGCUGACCCCUGCAAUUUCCCCAAAUGUGGGAAACUCGACACAUAAUUUGUGGUAGUGGGGGACUGCGUUCGCGCUCGCCCCUG